AAGACUUUAAGUUAUAUAAACUAUUAACCUUCAAAGUUUAAAAUAUCAAUUAAGAUAAGCCUUA
RNAcentral lists this transfer RNA (64 nucleotides) under Olidiana tongmaiensis. Its description in RNAcentral is "tRNA-Trp". Lineage: Eukaryota; Metazoa; Arthropoda; Insecta; Hemiptera; Cicadellidae. The record is from RNAcentral.